Molecule: ribosomal RNA, 274 nt
Filed under: uncultured bacterium
Lineage: Bacteria
Description: partial 16S ribosomal RNA
Rfam family: Bacterial small subunit ribosomal RNA
Source: RNAcentral
GACGAACGCUGGCGGCGUGCUUAACACAUGCAAGUCGAGCGGUAAGGCCCCGUUCGGGGGUACACGAGCGGCGAACGGGUGAGUAACACGUGGGUGACCUGCCCUCAGCUCUGGGAUAAGCCUGGGAAACUGGGUCUAAUACCGGAUAUGACUCCAUGACGCAUGUCGGUGGGGUGGAAAGCCUUGUGCGGCUGGGGGAUGGGCCCGCGGCCUAUCAGCUUGUUGGUGGGGUGAUGGCCUACCGAGGCGACGACGGGUAGCCGGCCUGAGAGGG